RNAcentral lists this ribosomal RNA (484 nucleotides) under Froggattina australis. RNAcentral's name for it is "partial 16S ribosomal RNA". It matches the Rfam family "Bacterial large subunit ribosomal RNA", at positions 1852 to 2597 of the family's 2925-position model. Lineage: Eukaryota; Metazoa; Arthropoda; Insecta; Orthoptera; Acrididae. The record is from RNAcentral.
GUCUGACCUGCUCACUGAUUUAUUUUAAAGAGCCGCGGUAUAUUGACCGUGCAAAGGUAGCAUAAUCAUUAGUUUCUUAAUUAGAGACUGGAAUGAAUGGUUUAACGAGAAAUUAACUGUCUCUUAAUAAUUAUUUGAAUUUAACUUUUGAGUUAAAAGGCUUAAAUAUUUCUUUAGGACGAGAAGACCCUAUAGAGCUUAACAUUUUUAUUUAAUUAUUUUUUAUAGAUUAUUUUUUAAUAUUAAAUUUUAAUGUUUUGUUGGGGUGACAUGAAGAAUAAUUAAACUCUUCAUUAUAAAAUCAUUGAUUUAUGUUUAUUUGAUCCAUAAUUUAUGAUCAUAAGAUUAAGUUACCUUAGGGAUAACAGCGUAAUUGUUUUUGAGAGUUCAUAUCGACAAAAUGGAUUGCGACCUCGAUGUUGGAUUAAGAUUAAUUUUAGGUGUAGUAGCUUAAUAAUUAGGUCUGUUCGACCUUUAAAUUCUU